Molecule: ribosomal RNA, 253 nt
Filed under: uncultured bacterium
Lineage: Bacteria
Description: partial 16S ribosomal RNA
Rfam family: Bacterial small subunit ribosomal RNA
Source: RNAcentral
UACGUAGGGUGCGAGCGUUGUCCGGAAUUAUUGGGCGUAAAGAGCUCGUAGGCGGUUUGUCGCGUCGGCCGUGAAAACUUGGGGCUUAACCCCAAGCCUGCGGUCGAUACGGGCGGGCUAGAGUUCGGUAGGGGAGACUGGAAUUCCUGGUGUAGCGGUGAAAUGCGCAGAUAUCAGGAGGAACACCGGUGGCGAAGGCGGGUCUCUGGGCCGAUACUGACGCUGAGGAGCGAAAGCGUGGGGAGCGAACAGG